AACGCACGAGACCUGCGGACCUGCGGAGGGAUCAUUAUUGAAUGUACUUGAUGGGUUGUUGCUGGCCCUUCUGGGCAUGUGCACGCCUGUCUUGACUCCAUUCAUCCACCUGUGAACCUUUUGUAGUCUGAUUGAGGCAGUAGCAGUGACACUCAGUUUGAAAACACUGGAUUUGAGGUUUGCCCAGUAUUGAUGGGCUGUUCUCUUUGGUCUCGAGCUCCGCCUUGAAAGACUAUGUUU
This 240-nucleotide unclassified non-coding RNA is filed under the name soil metagenome. RNAcentral's name for it is "partial contains 5.8S ribosomal RNA, internal transcribed spacer 2, and large subunit ribosomal RNA". The record is from RNAcentral.